GGGGAUGAAAUGGCUUCGACGGGGAAGGCUAGUCAGAGAUGGCGAGUCGGGGGGCUCCGGCCCCGUUAACAACAGAGCAAAAACCCAAAAGUGCCAACAAUUGGGCAGCAAUUCCCGUAGCCGCCUAAGGCGGUGAAAGGAAAAAGGAGCGCUUGCGAGCGCUCCCGCCCCCUCCGGCCUCGCGCUGGUGGGUCGGGGGUCGGGUGUCAUAAAUGCCAGCGUGCGGCUGCCGGACGCCGAUAGAGCGGCUCAAGACGCAUCGGCUGGGCCUGGGUGCAGCGCGGUCGGCCGCGACUCCCCAGGCAAGAAAAAAGCGCCGACUAUACUCGUAGAAAUCUCUGAACGAAUUCUUCGGACGCGGGUUCGACUCCCGCCAUCUCCACCA
This 385-nucleotide transfer-messenger RNA is filed under the name Anaerolineae. RNAcentral describes it as "JAFGEI01 sp016931695 Standard tmRNA". It matches the Rfam family "transfer-messenger RNA". Rfam says of the family: Bacterial tmRNA, also known as 10Sa RNA or SsrA, is named for its dual tRNA and mRNA-like properties. Its role is to liberate the mRNA from a stalled ribosome. To accomplish this part of the tmRNA is used as a reading frame that ends in a translation stop signal. RNAcentral also lists the same sequence under 1 other name. Lineage: Bacteria; Bacillati; Chloroflexota. The record is from RNAcentral.